This 405-nucleotide ribosomal RNA is filed under the name uncultured bacterium. Its description in RNAcentral is "bacterial SSU rRNA". It matches the Rfam family "Bacterial small subunit ribosomal RNA", at positions 370 to 772 of the family's 1533-position model. The record is from RNAcentral.
AAUGGACGCAAGUCUGAACCAGCCACGUCGCGUGAAGGAAGACGGCCCUACGGGUUGUAAACUUCUUUUGUAAGGGAAUAAAGUGUAGUACGUGUACUAUUUUGCAUGUACCUUACGAAUAAGGAUCGGCUAACUCCGUGCCAGCAGCCGCGGUAAUACGGAGGAUCCGAGCGUUAUCCGGAUUUAUUGGGUUUAAAGGGUGCGCAGGCGGGAGAUUAAGUCGGCGGUGAAAUUUUGCAGCUCAACUGUAAAAGUGCCUUCGAAACUGGUUUCCUUGAGUGUAGAUGAAGUAGGCGGAAUUUGUGGUGUAGCGGUGAAAUGCAUAGAUAUCACGAGGAACUCCGAUUGCGCAGGCAGCUUACUAAACUACUACUGACGCUCAGGCACGAAGGCGUGGGGAUCAAA